GCGUGAGGAACCUGCCUCAAAGAGGGGGACAACAGUUGGAAACGACUGCUAAUACCGCAUAAGCCCACGGUGCCGCAUGGCACAGAGGGAAAAGGAGCAAUCCGCUUUGAGAUGGCCUCGCGUCCGAUUAGCUAGUUGGUGAGGUAACGGCCCACCAAGGCGACGAUCGGUAGCCGGACUGAGAGGUUGAACGGCCACAUUGGGACUGAGACACGGCCCAGACUCCUACGGGAGGCAGCAGUGGGGAAUAUUGCACAAUGGGGGAAACCCUGAUGCAGCGACGCCGCGUGGAGGAAGAAGGUCUUCGGAUUGUAAACUCCUGUUGUUGAGGAAGAUAAUGACGGUACUC
RNAcentral lists this ribosomal RNA (349 nucleotides) under uncultured bacterium. RNAcentral describes it as "bacterial SSU rRNA". It matches the Rfam family "Bacterial small subunit ribosomal RNA", at positions 115 to 480 of the family's 1533-position model. The record is from RNAcentral.